CACAAGCCGGAUCACUAGGGCUGCUCAGGGAAAGGGAAGCCAGAAGCCUGGCAUGCCAGCAAAAGGGCUAACCCUGCUUAUUCCUAUGAACCAACCAGUAAUCUCCGACUGUUGCUCAGAAAAAAACAAGAGGAUGGAUCCUCAGGUAAAACUGGUACUCUAGGAAGAUGCCUGUGAUCAGUCUGUGACUCCACAAACUGCAAGCAUACCAAUCUGUACAUCCAGGAAUCCACACUCCAAAGGCAGAAGCAUGGAUAUUUAGACUCUAGUGUCUACACAUGUGCAUGAUAGCAAGCUCUUCCUAUCAGGUCUUCUCUGUAUAAUGCUUAGCACCAUGAUGCAUGCAGUUGGAUGCUAAUAAACGUAACUAUAACUACUCAGUGACUAUCAAGGCAUACUCAAGGCAAGUCAUUUGACUUGUAGCUGUGACCAUGGUUUGGAAUACUCACUGAGCAUGGGUGAGUAAUUUAAGCCACGCCAAGUAUUGAUUUCCUUGUCUGAACAUUCUGAAAAAUCCUGCUUCCUCCCAGGAUUGCUGCAAGAAAUAGGGAGUGGAAAAAAAUGGAUAAUUAUCAUCAAACCUGAGCCAGAAUAGAAAACAGAAUCUUUACCUUGAAGAAGUCAAUGAGAACAUCUUUACCUUCCAGCCAAAUGAUGUUGUGAAGAUAUUGCAGUUCUUACAAAUUGAAGGUCUGCAGCAACCCUGCAUCUAGCAAGUCUAUCAGCACCAUUUUUCCAACAGUAUGUCCUCGCUUCAUAUCUCUGUGUCUACAUUUUGAAUCUCCAAGUUUUGGCUGAUCAUAUCGCCAGCCCAGAAAGAUGAUAUUUCCCAGCUUCCCUUGCCCAUGUGCGUCCAUGUGACUAAGUUCUGGCCAAUGGAAUUUGUGAUGGCUUUCUGCAUUGACAAAAGGUUCACAGAGCAGAGGAAAGAUGAGUUUCAAAAACCACCACCUACCUCCCAAAACAACAAUGAAGCAUACAAGCGUUGUGAAAUGUUUCUCUUCAACAAGGUCUACAGGUCACAAUGAUUCUGGUGUGAAGCAGAGGAUGGGCCAGAAAGAGAUUCAAAAUGCUACAUCUUCAAAUCACUUCACCUGUCCCUCCAGUAGCCCUUCAGGUCCUUGGCAUCUUCAACUCCUGCUAUCCUCACGUGUAAUGACCCUCAAAUUAAGUUCUACAAAUUACCCAGAUCAGAGAUAUGUUCCUUAAAGAUUAAGCUGCUUUAAAGUUGAAAUUGAGAUGAAGGCUCUCAAAAUCCCAAAGAACAAUGCACAGUUAUGCGGCUGUUUGCCAGGGACAGUACUACCAACUGAUAUCACACCAAAAUCUAUUUCCAUGCCUACUUCUCAUUGGUUUAUUGCCAGCCUGCUUGCGUUCUGAUUGGCUGCCUACAUUAUCCCCACCCCCAAUCCAGAAGAAGCCAAGUGAUCUAGUUCUGGGGAAGCUUUCAUUUUUUAACACUCAAGUUAUGUAGGUACCCACAACUGUUUUAACUGAUUUUUUUUUUUUUUGGCUGACAUUGUAGAAUGAAUUCAUGAAUUUUACAAGUAUAAUCAAAGACAACCAAAAAUUUUUAUUUUUCCCUUCAAAAGCUAAGUGUAGUGUAGCUCCCCCGUAGUCUAAGUUAGAGAAGAAUACUAACAGCGUGUUUUUCCUUCUGUGCUCAGCAAGCCUUAUCUGUACUUGCUAGUUUCACACUCCUUGAGGCUCAGGGACUUCUUGUUUCACCUCCCUAGCACAGCUGCAAAGUUACAAGGUUAAUACAGAAACAUAGUUUCCCAGGGAUGUGGAACAUGUAGUAUACAUAAAUGUAAAAGACUGAUCAACUGCCUUUGUUCCCGCUCCUGUAAGUAGGCUUCCUGCAUCAUGUAGCUCCUGGCCACUGACUGCUUAAAAGGUGACUGCUUUCUUUGUCCAGGGCUCAGACUUUCCUGGACGCUAGUACUACUGAGCCAGGUGAUCACCUUUUAAUAAAGACCUUUCCUGAACUUACUCUGUUCGGUCUCUCCCAUCUUUGACUGUCCUGCCACAUUUCUGGGGGCCUGUCCAGGAUUGAAGACAGUAGGUUUCUGUCUCCUUUGCCUGUGGGCAAGGGCCCCAGGACGCAGGAGAUGUGGGAACCUUGGCACCACUGGGUAAGACCUAGCCCAGAAGGACAACGGCUCUCCAGUGUCUUGGAGCCUUCCCCUGACAGUGCAAAUGGAACUGACUCAGGAGUUGCAGGACAGUCACAGGAGCAGCGUACAGGUAGACUACUGAACCAAGGUAAGGUUGGGCCCUAGGAAAGCCCAUCCUAUAAGGAUGGAAGGAGAGGUUGAUCACCUCCUGGGGAAUGACCGCUUAUCCAACCCAGAGCAGCUGGGGGGUGGCAGGAGUGGCUUGCCAAUUUGGAUGAACCUCAUGUCCCCACUAACACGAACCGGAAAAAGGGAGAAAAUGAGCCAAUAGAGCAGCAAGUGCAGCAAGGUAGGGCUUGCUGGCAGGGUGACAAGAGUGGCUUGCCACCCCAACUGGGAGUGUAUGGGUGUGUAUGCACCUACCUGGGACACAAAAGAGGCUCCUUUUGUCCAUUGAGGAGUCCUAGGUUAGGAGUGGUGUGUGUAUGUGUGUGAAUGUGGGAGCCUAAGUAGGCUCACCUGGGGCACAAGAGAGGCUCGUUUCAUCCGAUGAGGAGUCCUGGGGCAGGGGAGGUGUGUGAAAGUGUGUAAAGGUAUGGUCUCAGUGAGAGGUGAAGCCACCUGGACUUCCUGGUUCGAGUAGGGACUUGGAGAACUUUUCUGUCUAGCUAAAGGUUUGUAAACGCACCAGUCAGCACUCUGUAAAAACAGACCAAUCAGCACUCUGUAAAAUGGACCAAUCAGUGCUCUGUAAAAUGGACCAAUCAGCAGGAUGUGGGCAGGGCCAAAUAAGAGAAUCAAAGCUGGCCACCUGAGCCAGCAGCAGCAACCUGCUGGGGUCCCCCUUCCAUGCUGUGGAAGCUUUGUUCUUUCGCUGCUCUCUCUUUGGGUCUGCACUACCUUUAUGAGCUGUAACACUCACUGCGAAGGUCUGCGGUUUCACUCCUGAAGUCAGCGAGACCAUGAACCCACUGGGAGGAACAAACAACUCCGGACGUGCCACCUUUAAGAGCUGUAACACUGCGAAGGUCUGCGGCUUUACUCCUGAAGUCAAGUGAGACCACAAACCCACUGAAAGGAAGAAACUCUGGACACAUCUGAACAUCUGAAGGAACAAACUCUGGACACACUAUCUUUAAGAAUUUUAACACUCACUGUGAGGGUCCACAGCUUCAUUCUUGAAGUCAGCGAGACCAAGAACCCACCAGAAGGAACAAAUUCCAGAUACAUCGGGAGAGGUCAACGCAGGAAUGAAUGUGGGGAGGUGCAGAUCUCUUAGCACAGACUGUGUCCUCCGAGGUGAGUGUGGGACUAGCCAGACAUAGGUCACUGUGUAAGGCCAACAGGAUUAGCUUCAUAGCUUCACAGCAGUAGUUGGCUGUGACCUGGCUAAGCAGUGUCUGAACCUCCGGUAAUAGGACCCAGUCUGGUGAAUCUGAGAGUGAAAGUGAGAGUGAAAGUGUGCCAUGAGGGAGGAAAUGGGAGGAAAAGUGUUGAAACCAACUCCAUUAGAAUAUAUGUUGAAGAACUUUAUGAGAGGCUUUGAUGGUGAUUAUGGAAUGAAGUUAACACCACAGAGGCUAAGAACCCUUUGUGAAAUUUGCCCUCCUUUAAUGUAAGGUGGAUGGCCAAGGGAACCAUAGAUAGGGAAAUAAUUGGCCGAGUGUUUUGGGUGGUCACUGGUGUCGGACAACAGCCUGGGCACCCUGAUCAGUUCCCAUACUUAGACUCCUGGCUGAGUGUGAUUCAGACCUGUCCAAAAUGGCUACAGUCCUGCUUUGAAGAUUAUUGUAAGACUCUAGUGGCUUGUACAAAACAAGGAACCAUAGAAAAGACCCAAAUCAGGCCCAAGGGCCAUUGAACUUGCUGAGAUACCGAGAGGCUCUAAUACAAGGAAUAAAGGCUGGAUGGAAAAAAGCAACAAACACUGGAAAGGUUUCAGAGGUUCGUCAGAAACCAGAUGAAAGUCCCAGUGAGCUCUAUGAGAGGCUUUAUGAGACUUACCGGCUCUCCACACCUUUUGACCCAGAGGCAGCAGGGAAUCAGUACAUGGCUAAUGUGGCAUUCGUGAGUCAGGCACAAAAUGACAUUAAGCAAAAGUUGCAGAAGCUGGAGGGGUUUGAAGGUAUGAACAUUUCCCAGCUUAUCCAGGUAGCAACCAAAGUGUUUGUAAAUCGAGAUGAGGAAGCAAAGUGGGAGGCCAAGUGUAGAGCGAAGGAAAAGGCAGAGUUCUUGGCCACAGCCCUGGUUGAAAGAGAGACUGGAUUUGCAAGAAGACAUGGACGUGGGUCAUGGAUGCAGUCACAGUAGAGGACAAGCUAGGCCAGGUCAGGAGACCAGGACAGGUCAGGAAGAUUGGCCUAGACUAGAGAGAGAUCAAUGUGCGAGAUACAAGCAAAGAGAGCAUUGGAAAGAUGAAUGUCCAGAGAAAGAAAAGGACAAGGGUAACAACCAGGGACAGAAUGACUGGACAGGGCCUCCUUCCGCCGCUAGGCAAGGUGUAGUAGGAUCUGACAUGGAUCUAAUUGGGCUGGCAGGAGCCAAUGACUACCUUGAAGACUGAGACAGACCAGGCUCCAUCUCAUUAGGCCCUGAGGAGCCUAUGGUCUCAAUGGUAGUAGGGGGCCAAAAAAUAGACUUUAUGGUAGACACAGGUGCUGAAAAUGCAGUUGUGACUCAAACAAUUGGGCCAUUAUCAAAAGACUAUGCUAAUAUUAUUGGGGCCACAGGUAUCACAGAAAAUACACCUUUUUUCAAAUCAAAGAGAUGUAUGAUUGGAGACUGAGAGGUCCAACACAAGUUUUUAUACUUACCAAACUGUCCAGUGCCACUAUUGGGAAAAGACUUAUUAUAAAAACUGCAGGCUCAGAUCUCCUUUACACUGAGUGGAGAUAUGACUUUAAGCCUAAGGCAAAGAAAGACUAUGGUAUUAACACUCACAGUCCUGAAAACAGGAGGAAUGGAGACUUUAUGAAAGUAGUUGCCAGGAGUGUGGAAAAAGACAUAGUGUGGUUGAAGGAGAAAAACUAUUCACAGACUUGUUAAGUUACCAAGGAGUCUGGGCAGAAGACAAUCCCCCAGGGCUGGCAGUGAAUCAAGCACCUGUCAUAGUAAAGCUACUAUGAGGAACCUACCCAGUGUGGAUCUCCCAAUAUCCCAUUCCCAUGAAGGCCAAUCGAGGAAGUGAAAAACACUUAAAAAGGCUCCUUGAGUUUGGAAUAAUAAAAAGAUGUGUUUCCUCAUGGAAUACUCCCCUAUUGCCAGUGUUAAAACCUUCUGGUGACUACCGGCCUGUACAAGACUUAAGGGCAGUCAACAAGGUGGCAGCUACACUGCAUGCUAUUAUGCCUAACCUGUAUACUAUGCUUGGACAAAUACUUGCUAGUGCUGCUUGGUUCACAUGCUUAGACAUAAAAGAUGCAUCCUUCUGCAUUCGAUUGGCCCCUGUAAGCUGAGAUAUCUUUGCCUUUGAGUGGGGCCCAUCUCAGUAUGCCUGGACUAGACUUCCCCAAGGAUUUAAAAACUCCCCAACUAUCUUUGAAGAAGCACUAGCCUCAGACUUAAAGGCUUUCACGCCACCUAGGACCGAUGUGUCUUACUGCAAUACAUAGAUGAUUUGUUGCUAGCCACACCCACCAGAAAGGAAUGUAUCCAAGGAACAGAGAGUCUCCUUCAAGUGCUGUGGAAAGCUGGCUAUAAAGUAUCUAAGGAAAAGGCACAGACCUGUGGCCAAGGAGUCCAGUAUCUUGGCUUUUACAUCUCCCAAGGGUGGUGUGAGCUUGGGCAGGAGCGAAAAGAGACUGUCUGUAGCAUUCCUCAGCCAGACACAAGGCAGCCAGUGCAGGAAUUCCUAGGGGCAGCUGGUUUCUGCCACAUAUGGAUCCCCAACUACUCGCUCCUAGCAAAACCUUUAUAUGAGGUGAUGAAAGCGGGGGGAAAGAAGCCCCUCCUUUGAAAAAAGAAACAGGAUAUGGCUUUCAAGAAAAUCAAGAAAGCCUUAAUCCAGGCACCAGCACUAGGGCUUCCGGACAUGCAGAGCCCUUUUACCUGUAUGUUCACGAAAGAAAAGGAAUGGCUACAGGAGUCUUAGUGCAAAUGCUAGGGUCGUGGUAUCAGCCUGUAGCAUAUUUGUCCAAGCAACUAGACUUGGUGGCUAUAGGAUGGCCACCCUGUUUCAAGGUGCUGGCCGCCACUGCCUCGUUAGCCAAGGAUGCUAACAAGCUCACAUUUUGACAGAAGUUGAUAAUUCGGCUGCCCCACACAGUUGUCACCCUGAUGGAACAGAGAGAACAUUGUUGGCUCUCUAACCCUAGGAUGCUAAGAUACCAAGGGCUCCUAUGUGAGAAUCCAUACAUCACCUUAGAGACUGUGAAUACCCUAAAUCUGGCCACACCAUUACCAAUAGAAUAUGAGGAGCAUGGGAAGCCCCCGUUAUGUGCCCCAGGGUAUCACUGCUGUAUAGAAACAGUAGAUGAGGUCUUUUCAAGCCAAAAAGACUUGAAAGACCAGCCUCUAAAGGACCCUGACAUUGAAUAUUUUACUGAUGGAAGCAACUUCAUAUCCGAAGGUAUCAGAAAGGCUGGAUAUGCUGUAGUCACAUUAAGCUCGGUGGCCUAGGCCUGCCCUCUACCAGUCGGAACCUCAGUGCAGAAGGCAGAACUAAUAGCUCUCACAAGAGCACUAUUUCUAGCGAAGGGAAAGUUAGUGAAUAUCUAUACUGACUCAAGAUAUGCUUUUGCCACCUUGCAUGCUUAUGGACCCAUUUACAAUGAAAGAGGACUGUUAACUACUGAAG
Molecule: long non-coding RNA, 6912 nt
Organism: Pongo pygmaeus (Bornean orangutan)
Lineage: Eukaryota; Metazoa; Chordata; Mammalia; Primates; Hominidae
Exons: 10
Source: RefSeq, a predicted model, not a curated record